RNAcentral lists this RNase P RNA (357 nucleotides) under Chromatiales bacterium. Its description in RNAcentral is "RNase P RNA component class A". It matches the Rfam family "Bacterial RNase P class A". Rfam says of the family: Ribonuclease P (RNase P) is a ubiquitous endoribonuclease, found in archaea, bacteria and eukarya as well as chloroplasts and mitochondria. Lineage: Bacteria; Pseudomonadati; Pseudomonadota; Gammaproteobacteria; Chromatiales. The record is from RNAcentral.
GGAGUUGGCCAGGCAAUCGCUCGAUCCAUGUGGUCGGGAGGAAAGUCCGGGCUCCAUCGGGCAGGGUGCCAGGUAACGCCUGGGGGACGUGAGUCCACGGCUAGUGCCACAGAAAAUAUACCGCCUUGCGCCUUUUAGGAGGCAAAGGGUAAGGGUGAAAUGGUGCGGUAAGAGCGCACCGCGCUUGUGGUAACACUUAAGCGGCAGUGUAAACCCCACCUGGAGCAAGACCAAAUAGGAACUCGCAUAUUGCUGCUCGCAAUUGGGUUCGGGUAGGUCGCUAGAGGUACGUGGUGACGCGUAUCACAGAUGAAUGAUUACCCUCGACAGAACCCGGCUUAUCGGUCGACUCUCAAC